This 173-nucleotide non-coding RNA is filed under the name Massilibacterium senegalense. RNAcentral describes it as "6S / SsrS RNA". It matches the Rfam family "6S / SsrS RNA". From Rfam's summary of the family: E. coli 6S RNA was the first non coding RNA to be sequenced, but its function was unknown until recently. It consists of 184 nucleotides that fold into an extended hairpin structure with a large single-stranded internal bulge. The record is from RNAcentral. Lineage: Bacteria; Bacillati; Bacillota; Bacilli; Caryophanales; Bacillaceae.
GUCCUGAAGUGUACGAUUGAUUCUUUAUGUUUUGAGCCAACACCAAUUAAUCGGGAGUCUGCGUCUUUGUUCGGAAUACAUGCCCCAACAUCGGGGACGUAGGAACAAUAAAGUAGGACACCCACCUGCGAGGGCAGGUUCAAAACGUAAGAAGCACCGGCACCAUUGGGACU